AGCGGGGAUUAGUGGCGAACGGGUGAGUAACACGUGAGUAACCUGCCCUUAACUCUGGGAUAAGCCUGGGAAACUGGGUCUAAUACCGGAUAUGACUCCUCAUCGCAUGGUGGGGGGUGGAAAGCUUUAUUGUGGUUUUGGAUGGACUCGCGGCCUAUCAGCUUGUUGGUGAGGUAAUGGCUCACCAAGGCGACGACGGGUAGCCGGCCUGAGAGGGUGACCGGCCACACUGGGACUGAGACACGGCCCAGACUCCUACGGGAGGCAGCAGUGGGGAAUAUUGCACAAUGGGCGCAAGCCUGAUGCAGCGACGCCGCGUGAGGGAUGACGGCCUUCGGGUUGUAAACCUCUUUCAGUAGGGAAGAAGCGAAAGUGACGGUACCUGCAGAAGAAGCGCCGGCUAACUACGUGCCAGCAGCCGCGGUAAUACGUAGGGCGCAAGCGUUAUCCGGAAUUAUUGGGCGUAAAGAGCUCGUAGGCGGUUUGUCGCGUCUGCCGUGAAAGUCCGGGGCUCAACUCCGGAUCUGCGGUGGGUACGGGCAGACUAGAGUGAUGUAGGGGAGACUGGAAUUCCUGGUGUAGCGGUGAAAUGCGCAGAUAUCAGGAGGAACACCGAUGGCGAAGGCAGGUCUCUGGGCAUUAACUGACGCUGAGGAGCGAAAGCAUGGGGAGCGAACAGGAUUAGAUACCCUGGUAGUCCAUGCCGUAAACGUUGGGCACUAGGUGUGGGGGACAUUCCACGUUUUCCGCGCCGUAGCUAACGCAUUAAGUGCCCCGCCUGGGGAGUACGGCCGCAAGGCUAAAACUCAAAGGAAUUGACGGGGGCCCGCACAAGCGGCGGACAUGCGGAUUAAUUCGAUGCACGCGAAGAACCUUACCAAGGCUUGACAUGGACCGGACCGGGCUGGAAACAGUCCUUCCCCUUUGGGGCCGGUUCACAGGUGGUGCAUGGUUGUCGUCAGCUCGUGUCGUGAGAUGUUGGGUUAAGUCCCGCAACGAGCGCAACCCUCGUUCCAUGUUGCCAGCGCGUAAUGGCGGGGACUCAUGGGAGACUGCCGGGGUCAACUCGGAGGAAGGUGGGGACGACGUCAAAUCAUCAUGCCCCUUAUGUCUUGGGCUUCACGCAUGCUACAAUGGCCGGUACAAAGGGUUGCGAUACUGUGAGGUGGAGCUAAUCCCAAAAAGCCGGUCUCAGUUCGGAUUGGGGUCUGCAACUCGACCCCAUGAAGUCGGAGUCGCUAGUAAUCGCAGAUCAGCAACGCUGCGGUGAAUACGUUCCCGGGCCUUGUACACACC
This 1296-nucleotide ribosomal RNA is filed under the name actinobacterium KFC-24. RNAcentral's name for it is "bacterial SSU rRNA". It matches the Rfam family "Bacterial small subunit ribosomal RNA", at positions 84 to 1391 of the family's 1533-position model. The record is from RNAcentral. Lineage: Bacteria; Bacillati; Actinomycetota; Actinomycetes.